CAGUCGAGCGGAUGAAGGAGCUUGCUCCUGGAUUCAGCGGCGGACGGGUGAGUAAUGCCUAGGAAUCUGCCUGGUAGUGGGGGACAACGUUUCGAAAGGAACGCUAAUACCGCAUACGUCCUACGGGAGAAAGCAGGGGACCUUCGGGCCUUGCGCUAUCAGAUGAGCCUAGGUCGGAUUAGCUAGUUGGUGAGGUAAUGGCUCACCAAGGCGACGAUCCGUAACUGGUCUGAGAGGAUGAUCAGUCACACUGGAACUGAGACACGGUCCAGACUCCUACGGGAGGCAGCAGUGGGGAAUAUUGGACAAUGGGCGAAAGCCUGAUCCAGCCAUGCCGCGUGUGUGAAGAAGGUCUUCGGAUUGUAAAGCACUUUAAGUUGGGAGGAAGGGUUGUAGAUUAAUACUCUGCAAUUUUGACGUUACCGACAGAAUAAGCACCGGCUAACUCUGUGCCAGCAGCCGCGGUAAUACAGAGGGUGCAAGCGUUAAUCGGAAUUACUGGGCGUAAAGCGCGC
Molecule: ribosomal RNA, 515 nt
Filed under: Pseudomonas sp.
Lineage: Bacteria; Pseudomonadati; Pseudomonadota; Gammaproteobacteria; Pseudomonadales; Pseudomonadaceae
Description: bacterial SSU rRNA
Rfam family: Bacterial small subunit ribosomal RNA
Source: RNAcentral